GUCUUUUUGAAUUUAAUUUAAAGUCUAACCUGCCCAUUGAUAAUUAUUUUAAAAGGCCGCGGUAUUUUGACCGUGCAAAGGUAGCAUAAUCAUUAGUUUUUUAAUUGAAAGCUUGUAUGAAGGGUUGAAUGAAACAUUAACUGUCUCAUAAAAAAUUUAUUAAAAUUUUAUUUUUUAGUUAAAAAGCUAAAAUUUAAUUAGAGGACGAGAAGACCCUAUAGAGUUUAAUAAUUUUAUUAAUUUUAAUAUUUAAUUAAUAAUAAUAAAUUAUAGUUUAAAAAUAAAUUAUUUUAUUGGGGAGAUAAUAAAAUUUAAAAAACUUUUAUAUAAAUUUUACAAAAAUUAUUGAAUAUUUGAUCCUAUUAUAUAGAUUAAAAAUUUAAAUUACCUUAGGGAUAACAGCAUAAUUUUUUUAUAAAGUUCUUAUUUAUAAAAAAGAUUGUGACCUCGAUGUUGGAUUAAAAUUAAUUUUAGGUGUAGAAGCUUAAUAUAUUAAGUCUGUUCGACUUUUAAUAUUUU
Molecule: ribosomal RNA, 519 nt
Filed under: Macrocera angulata
Lineage: Eukaryota; Metazoa; Arthropoda; Insecta; Diptera; Keroplatidae
Description: partial small subunit ribosomal RNA
Rfam family: Bacterial large subunit ribosomal RNA (bases 395-519)
Source: RNAcentral